This 497-nucleotide ribosomal RNA is filed under the name uncultured bacterium. RNAcentral describes it as "partial 16S ribosomal RNA". It matches the Rfam family "Bacterial small subunit ribosomal RNA", at positions 28 to 507 of the family's 1533-position model. The record is from RNAcentral.
GAUGAACGCUGGCGGCGUGCCUAAUACAUGCAAGUCGAGCGAACAGACGAGGAGCUUGCUCCUUUGACGUUAGCGGCGGACGGGUGAGUAACACGUGGGUAACCUACCUAUAAGACUGGGAUAACUUCGGGAAACCGGAGCUAAUACCGGAUAAUAUUUCGAACCGCAUGGUUCGAUAGUGAAAGAUGGCUCUGCUAUCACUUAUAGAUGGACCUGCGCCGUAUUAGCUAGUUGGUAAGGUAACGGCUUACCAAGGCAACGAUACGUAGCCGACCUGAGAGGGUGAUCGGCCACACUGGAACUGAGACACGGUCCAGACUCCUACGGGAGGCAGCAGUAGGGAAUCUUCCGCAAUGGGCGAAAGCCUGACGGAGCAACGCCGCGUGAGUGAUGAAGGUCUUCGGAUCGUAAAACUCUGUUAUUAGGGAAGAACAAACGUGUAAGUAACUGUGCACGUCUCGACGGUACCUAAUCAGAAAGCCACGGCUAACUACGUG